GUGCACCAGGCGCGAAACCUCCGCAAUGCUCGAAAGAGCGACGGGGGGACUCCAAGUGCCUACGCUCAGCGUAGGCUGUUCCCGAGCCUAAAAAGCUCGGGGAGUAAGGGCUGGGUAAGACGGGUGCCAGCCGCCGCGGUAAUACCCGCAGCCCGAGUGGUGGCCGCUAUUAUUGGGCCUAAAGCGUCCGUAGCCGGCUCGGUAAAUGCCUGGGUAAAUCGUCUGGCCCAACCAGACGAAUUCCGGGUAGACUGCCGGGCUAGGGACCGGAGGAGGGAGAGGGGUACUCCAGGGGUAGGGGUGAAAUCAGCAAGGUGAGUUGCUGAUGUAACUUGCCUUGCAAGUCACAAUCCUGUAAUCCCUGGAGGACCACCGGUGGCGAAGGCGCUCUCCUAGGACGGUCGACGGUGAGGGACGAAAGCCAGGGGAGCAAACCGGAUUAGAUACCCGUGUAGU
This 456-nucleotide ribosomal RNA is filed under the name uncultured microorganism. Its description in RNAcentral is "bacterial SSU rRNA". It matches the Rfam family "Archaeal small subunit ribosomal RNA", at positions 330 to 745 of the family's 1478-position model. The record is from RNAcentral.